ACUGCUCAGUAACACGUGGCUAAUCUGCCCCUUGGGACCGGAAACACCCCCGGGAAACUGGGGCUAAUUCUCGAUAGGUGAAGAACUCUGGAAUGAGUCUUUGCCAAAAAGACGUUUACGUUAUGCUCGUAGGCGUCGCCCAAGGAUGAGGCCGCGACCGAUCAGGUUGUUGGUGAGGUAAUGGCUCACCAAGCCUUUUACCGGUGCGGGCCGUGAGAGCGGGAGCCCGGAGAUGGGCACUGAGACAAGGGCCUAGGCCCUACGGGGCGCAGCAGUCGCGAAAACUUUGCAAUACACGAAAGUGUGACAGGGCUAUCCCGAGUGCCAUCCGCUGAGGAAGGCUUUUACCCAGUCUAGAACGCUGGGGGAAUAAGGAGAGGGCAAGUCUGGUGUCAGCCGCCGCGGUAAUACCAGCUCUCCGAGUGGUGUGGAUGUUUAUUGGGCCUAAAGCAUCCGUAGCUGGCUGAGUUAGUCCCUUGUUAAAUCCACCGAAUUAAUCGUUGGAUUGCGGGGGAUACUGCUCGGCUAGGGGACGAGAGAGGCAGACGGUAUUUCCGGGGUAGGGGUGAAAUCCUAUAAUCCCGGGAAGACCACCAGUGGCGAAGGCUGUCUGCUAGAACGCGCCCGACGGUGAGGGAUGAAAGCUGGGGGAGCGAACCGGAUUAGAUACCCGGGUAGUCCCAGCUGUAAACGAUGCAGGCUAGGUGUUUGGACGGCCACGUGCCGUUCUAGUGCCGCAGGGAAGCUGUUAAGCCUGCCGCCUGGGGAGUACGAUCGCAAGAUUGAAACUUAAAGGAAUUGGCGGGGGAGCA
This 812-nucleotide ribosomal RNA is filed under the name uncultured archaeon. Its description in RNAcentral is "bacterial SSU rRNA". It matches the Rfam family "Archaeal small subunit ribosomal RNA", at positions 85 to 878 of the family's 1478-position model. The record is from RNAcentral.